CCUACGGGUGGCAGCAGUGGGGAAUAUUGGACAAUGGGCGAAAGCCUGAUCCAGCCAUGCCGCGUGUGUGAAGAAGGCCUUCGGGUUGUAAAGCACUUUCAGUGGGGAAGAAAGCCUUGGGGCUAAUACCCUCGAGGAAGGACAUCACCCACAGAAGAAGCACCGGCUAACUCCGUGCCAGCAGCCGCGGUAAUACGGAGGGUGCUAGCGUUAAUCGGAAUUACUGGGCGUAAAGCGCGCGUAGGCGGUCUGAUAAGCCGGUUGUGAAAGCCCCGGGCUCAACCUGGGAACGGCAUCCGGAACUGUCCGGCUAGAGUGCAGGAGAGGAAGGUAGAAUUCCCGGUGUAGCGGUGAAAUGCGUAGAGAUCGGGAGGAAUACCAGUGGCGAAGGCGGCCUUCUGGACUGACACUGACGCUGAGGUGCGAAAGCGUGGGUAGCAAACAGGAUUAGAUACCCGAGUAGUC
This 465-nucleotide ribosomal RNA is filed under the name Vreelandella stevensii. RNAcentral's name for it is "partial 16S ribosomal RNA". It matches the Rfam family "Bacterial small subunit ribosomal RNA", at positions 338 to 795 of the family's 1533-position model. The record is from RNAcentral. Lineage: Bacteria; Pseudomonadati; Pseudomonadota; Gammaproteobacteria; Oceanospirillales; Halomonadaceae.